This 397-nucleotide ribosomal RNA is filed under the name uncultured bacterium. Its description in RNAcentral is "partial 16S ribosomal RNA". It matches the Rfam family "Bacterial small subunit ribosomal RNA", at positions 355 to 744 of the family's 1533-position model. The record is from RNAcentral.
UGGGGAAUAUUGGACAAUGGGCGCAAGCCUGAUCCAGCAAUGCCGCGUGUGUGAAGAAGGCCUUCGGGUUGUAAAGCACUUUUAUCAGGAGCGAAACGCUGUCGGCUAAUACCCGGCGGAACCGACGGUACCUGAGGAAUAAGCACCGGCUAACUUCGUGCCAGCAGCCGCGGUAAUACGAAGGGUGCAAGCUUAAUCGGAAUUACUGGGCGUAAAGCGUGCGUAGGCGGUUUCUUAAGUCUGCUGUGAAAUCCCCGGGCUCAACCUGGGAAAUGGCAGUGGAUACUGGGAGGCUAGAGUGUGUCAGAGGGUGGUGGAAUUCCCGGUGUAGCGGUGAAAUGCGUAGAGAUCGGGAGGAACAUCAGUGGCGAAGGCGGCCACCUGGGACAACACUGAC